Molecule: ribosomal RNA, 989 nt
Filed under: Heterocapsa iwatakii
Lineage: Eukaryota; Dinophyceae; Peridiniales; Heterocapsaceae
Description: partial large subunit ribosomal RNA
Rfam family: Eukaryotic large subunit ribosomal RNA
Source: RNAcentral
UUUUUUCCCCGGUNAUAUAAGCAUAUAGUAAGCGGAGGAUAAGAAACUAAAUAGGAUUCCCUCAGUAAUGGCGAAUGAACAGGGAUAAGCUCAGCAUGGAAAUCGGGGCCUGUGGCCUUGAAUUGUAGUCUCGAGAAGCAUUGCCAACGGAGGCGCAGAUGUAAGCCUCUUGGAAAAGAGCAUCAACGAGGGUGAGAGUCCCGUUUGUCAUCUGCAGUCCCCCGUGCACGGUGUGCUUUCAUAGAGUCACGUUCCUCGGGAUUGGAGCGCAAAGUGGGUGGUAAAUUUCAUCUAAAGCUAAAUAUAGGUUCGAGACCGAUAGCAAACAAGUACCAUGAGGGAAAGGUGAAAAGGACUUUGAAAAGAGAGUUAAAAGUGCCUGAAAUUGCUGAAAGGGAAGCGAAUGGAACCAGUGUUUCUUGGCAAGAUUGGUGCGUGCUAAUGUGAUUGGCUGCUACCUCAGCGCAAGCGUGGUGGUGGUUUUUGAUCAGGACGUGCGUGUUGUUUCUUGCCUUGUGUGUCAACGUCAGUUCUCGAUCGAGGAAAACGCCUAGUACAUGGUAGCUCGUCUCCGGGUGAGUGAAUAUGCUGGGUUGAACUCAUUCGUGAACUGUUUCCUGCGUGUCUGGUUGCAGUGUGCUUUGUGCUCAUGACCUGGGUGAAGCUUCGGCUGAGCUUUGGGAUUGUUCACUGGUGCAUCUCCCUGACACAACGACGAUGACUAAAUGGUUCUAUUCGACCCGUCUUGAAACACGGACCAAGGAGUCUAACAUAUGUGCGAGUUCACGGGCGGGUAAACCUGCUUGCGCAAUGAAAGUGACUGCUGGGAUCUUUGCACCAGCAACCGACCAAUCAAUUGAGAGAGGUUUGAGUAUGAGCAUAUCUGUUAGGACCCGAAAGAUGGUGAACUAUGCGUGGUUAGGGCAAAGUCAGGGGAAACUCUGAUGGAGGCUCGUAGCGAUACUGACGUGCAAUCGUUCGUAAGAAGG